AUGAAAUUUAGACUGAACUGGAUUUUGCUUCUGAGUAUUUUGCAAGAUGUCCAGUGUGAUGUGCAGCUGGUGGAGUCUGGGGGAGAUGUGAGACAGCCUGGGGGUUCUCUGCAUCUCUCCUGCAAAGCUUCUGGAUUUACCUUCAGUAGCUCCUGGAUGAACUGGGUCCUCCAGGCUCCAGGGAAGGGACUGGAAUGGGUUGCAAGAAUUAACCCUGAUGGAAAUAAUACAUACUACACAGACUCCAUGAAAGGUCUAUUCACCAUCUCCUGA
Non-coding RNA from Trichosurus vulpecula (common brushtail), 273 nucleotides. Lineage: Eukaryota; Metazoa; Chordata; Mammalia; Diprotodontia; Phalangeridae. The record is from the annotation of a RefSeq genome assembly.